CCUACGGGCGGCAUCAGUGAGGAAUUUUGCGCAAUGGGCGCAAUCCUGACGCAGCAACGCCGCGUGGGUGAUGAAGGCCUUCGGGUCGUAAAGCCCUGUCAGGUGGGAAGAAUGUCCCGGGACUGAACAGGUUUCGGGAGUGACGGUACCACCAGAGGAAGCACCGGCUAACUCCGUGCCAGCAGCCGCGGUAAUACGGAGGGUGCGAGCGUUAUUCGGAAUUACUGGGCGUAAAGCGCGUGUAGGCGGUCCUGCAAGUCUGAUGUGAAAGCCCCGGGCUUAACCCGGGAAGUGCAUUGGAAACUGUGGGACUUGAGUACUGGAGAGGAUGGGGGAAUUCCCGGUGUAGAGGUGAAAUUCGUAGAGAUCGGGAGGAAUAUCAGUGGCGAAGGCGCCCAUCUGGACGGUAACUGACGCUGAGACGCGAAAGCGUGGGGAGCAAACA
Molecule: ribosomal RNA, 445 nt
Filed under: uncultured prokaryote
Description: bacterial SSU rRNA
Rfam family: Bacterial small subunit ribosomal RNA
Source: RNAcentral